AGCAGNGAAACCGUAGAGGCGGAGCGAAUCNCAAAACCCGGUACUCAGUUCAGAUUGCAGGCUGCAACUCGCCUGCAUGAAGUUGGAAUUGCUAGUAAUCGCGAAUCAGCCACGGCGCGGUGAAUACGUUCCCGGGCCUUGUACACACCGCCCGUCAAGCCAUGGGAGCCGGGGGUACCUGAAGUGCGUGACCGCAAGGAGCGCCCUAAGGUAAAACCGGUGACUGGGGCUAAGUCGUAACAAGGUAGC
RNAcentral lists this ribosomal RNA (249 nucleotides) under uncultured bacterium. RNAcentral's name for it is "partial 16S ribosomal RNA". It matches the Rfam family "Bacterial small subunit ribosomal RNA", at positions 1245 to 1500 of the family's 1533-position model. The record is from RNAcentral.